Long non-coding RNA from Dreissena polymorpha, 1098 nucleotides. RefSeq lists it as uncharacterized. The transcript is spliced from 4 exons. The record is from RefSeq and is a predicted model, not a curated record. Lineage: Eukaryota; Metazoa; Mollusca; Bivalvia; Myida; Dreissenidae.
GCAAUGUGAACGGGUUAUCGUACGGCAAAACCCAUCACGUAAAGAAGAGUCUUCAACUUUGCAAGAAAGGAAUGCCUCGUUUUGCUAUCAACACAAAGCUCGGAACAGGAAGCUUUAAUAACAAUGAAUACAGUAGGGCACAGUCGACAGUGACAAUUUUCGGAUAAACUUCCUGGUUUUUGUCAAAGGGGCAGAACCUACUACCUGGUAGUUUCAAUGAUGAACUAUCAUGAUAUAGGGCUAAAAGAUGGAUGUGCCAAAUCCACCUCAUGAAAAACAGAUUGGGCAAAAGUGGAGUGCGAACACUAUAUGAUGUGCUGCUAAAUAGCAGAUCUUUACAAGUGAUUUCGGCAAAUCCUGAUGCAACCUGAGCUUACCAAGUUUACUGACAGUUUGGACUCUGUGUGGAUGAUAAUAUGGACAAUAUAUUGUGUUCAUGUUGUGUUGUGAUUGACAUUUUUUAACAGAUAAGAUUUUUUAAUCCAGACUUAACAGGUGAUUUUUCUUCAAAGAAUAAAUACAAUAUUUUUUUAUUGAUGUGCAUGAAUUUGAGUACAAAAUAUCAACAAUGUGUAUCUUGUGUUGUUUUUCCAAUCAGUCUGUCAUCCAUAGGUAAUAUAUUAAGUAUGAGAAGGGAAUAUUUUAUUUUUACAUUUUUGUUGUUUCUGCACACCAUUUCAGAUACAUGAAAAUAUAUUUUAUGCCCCCAACGGGUGGCAUAUAGUUUUCGCACUGUCCGUCUGUCAGUCUGUCUGCCCUCCGUAACACUUUUCGUGUUCACUCUCUAAUUCAAGUAGUGCUAAUCCGAUCUCCAAACUUGGUCAGAAGUUGCAUCCGGAUAAUGUCUAGGUCAAGACGAACAUGGGUCAUGCCGGUCCAAAAACUAUGUCAUAGGGUCACUUAGUGUGUUUCAAACAUUCAGCAUGGUGUCCGCUCUCUAAUUCAAGUAGUUUUCAUCCGAUCUUUCCCAAACUCUGUCAGAAGUUGUAUCUACAUAAUGUCUACGCCAAGUGUGAACAUGGGGCAUGCCGGGCAAAAAACUAGUUCACUGGGUCACUUAGUGCGUUUUAAACAUUCAGCUUGGGGUCCGCUCUCUAA